Oncorhynchus keta (chum salmon) is the source of this 1114-nucleotide long non-coding RNA. RefSeq lists it as uncharacterized. Lineage: Eukaryota; Metazoa; Chordata; Actinopteri; Salmoniformes; Salmonidae. The transcript is spliced from 3 exons. The record is from RefSeq and is a predicted model, not a curated record.
UACAGCCCACUAUGUGUAGGUCUACAGUCAGUUCCUAUGGUUACGGGUACUGUACAGCCCACUAUGUGUGUAGGCCUACAGUCAGUUCCUGUGGUUACAGGUACUGUACAGCCCACUAUGUGUAGGCCUACAGUCAGUUCCUGUGGUUACGGGUACUGUACAGCCCACUAUGUGUAGGCCUACACACUCUGUCUGUCUCUACUUAACCAGACGUGCAGACUGAGCAGUAGAGCUCUCCAGUGGUUCCUAGUCGGUCUGCCCGUCCGUCUGCCCCUCCACUCUCCAAACACAGAAAGAACACACUGUCCUUUUUAGGCAGAGAGAGAGGACCCACCCCUUCAGUUGCUACUGUCAGGAGUUGCAUAACUCUCUCUGUGGUGAAUGCUGUUUGCAUGGCUGGACACACACCCUAUAACCAGGUUAUUCACCAAGCCAGAGAGAGGUUUGACUCUGGGCUCUCUGUUACUAUUCACCAAGCCACAGAGAGGUUUGACUCUGGGCUCUCUGUUACUAUUCACCAAGCCAGAGAGAGGUUUGACUCUGGGCUCUCUGCUACUAUUCACCAAGCCGGCUCUGCUGAACAAGAUGAUGUGGUAACAGAGAGAGGUUUGACUCUGGGCUCUCUGCUACUAUUCACCAAGCCGGCUCUGCUGAACAAGAUGAUGUGGUAACAGAGAGAGGUUUGACUCUGGGCUCUCUGCUACUAUUCACCAAGCCGGCUCUGCUGAACAAGAUGAUGUGGUAACAGAGAGAGGUUUGACUCUAGGGCUCUCUGCUACUAUUCACCAAGCCGGCUCUGCUGACCAAGAUGAUGUGGUAACAGAGAGGUUUGACUCUGGGCUCUCUGCUACUAUUCACCAAGCCGGCUCUGCUGAACAAGAUGAUGUGGUAACAGAGAGGUUUGACUCUGGGCUCUCUGUUACUAUUCACCAAGCCGGCUCUGCUGAACAAGAUGAUGUGGUAACAGAGAGGUUUGACUCUAGGGCUCUCUGCUCCGUCUUUGUUGUUCUAUGCUAAUAGUUCAAUGGCACGAAGGCUGUUCAUGUUGGAAUGUCACAUUAACUUCACACACACACACACACACACACACACGACCCGCCAGGUGUUGAUUUCC